Molecule: ribosomal RNA, 1905 nt
Filed under: Triticum aestivum (bread wheat)
Lineage: Eukaryota; Viridiplantae; Streptophyta; Magnoliopsida; Poales; Poaceae
Description: partial small subunit ribosomal RNA
Source: RNAcentral
AUGGACAGUUCGACCAAACUAUUCCAUGAGUGGGAAAUCCAGAUACUUGUGCUACUCAGCUUCACACUACAAUUGUUCCUCUUCUUUGCUGGCAGGCUUCGGCGCCAAAGCAGCAGUGGGUUCCUGAGACUCUCCACCUGGGCAGCUUACUUAGGGGCAGAUUUGGCAGCAGUUUAUGCACUGGGCUAUCUCUCAAAGCGUCAAGACGACACCACUGAAACGAACAUACUUACAAGAACCCAACCACUAGCUAUCUUUUGGGCACCAUUUCUUCUCAUCCAUCUUGGCGGGCAGGACACCAUCACUGCUUUCGCCAUGGAGGACAACAACUUGUGGUUGAGGCAUCUGUUGAAUCUGGUGACGCAAGUUGUCAUAGCUUUAUAUGUUUUCUGGAAAUCCAUCGGAAAACACAGUGCAAACCUUCUAUUUGCGGGUAGCUUUGUGUUUGUUGCUGGAAUUAUCAAGUAUGGGGAAAGAACAUGGUCUCUCAAGUGUGGCAGCCUUAAAAGUCUUGAGAGCACAGAUGCAAAACGUUACAGAAAACAAUUGCCCGAAGGAAUCUCGGAUGAUGAUGGGUUUGUCCGUGCUGCUCUUGAUUCCAUGCAUCAUACCAUUGAUAUCUUAUCCGAGUGUAGCAUGUUUGGGUCCAAAAGAGAAGAAUUAGCGGAGAUAGACAAAACUGACCAAGUGAUUCGGAUGGUCAAGCUUCAGCUUGGAAUGAUGUAUGAUGAUCUCUACACCAAGGCCCUUGUGCUCACCACUCGGAGCGGAGUUAUACUUAGGUGCAUCUCUCAGGCAUCUAUUAUUGUUGCUUUUGCACUCUUCCUUGCAAAUGACAAAGAGAGGUAUAACAAAGCUGACACUAUCAUUACCUAUUCAUUGUUUGCCGGGUGCUUUUUCCUAGAAGUCUGUUCAAUAUUUGUUUCCAUGAUGUCACCUUGGACAUGGACAUGGUUGAAGAUUCACAAGUGGGACACACUUGCCUGGUUCUCGUGGUUUGUCUUUCGUUGGGACAUCGGAUACCCAAGGAUGGAACAGCGGUGGCCAAAUGCGAUUGGACAGUACAACUUCCAUGGUUGGGUGACUAACAGCAACCUGCAGCCAAGAACACACAGUCAACGAAUAAUGAUGGUAUUCAGAAAGUUUGUGGGUUUGUUUGGUGUCCAAAAGAGGAAAAUAUUUUGGAUGAGCAAGUUAUUAGACACUGAGUACAUGGAUGCAGAUAACAUGAUUGUGGAGUAUAUUGUAAAAGAGAUUAGUCUCUUAAAUUCUGAAUCCAGCGACGAUAAAGCCCAAGGAUGGCAGAGCAUUAGCUCCCAUGUGAAAACAGCAAUGAACAACUGCCUUAAAGUUUUUGGUUAUAGUAUUGUCGUGAUGCAUCUAUUAACUGAGGCACAUCUUCAACAAUAUGCUUCUUCCCGUUCUGACAUAGAGACAAAUCGUCCAAGGGCAGAUGUACCUGUUGGUCUGAUGGAGGUAUGCCGGAAGCUUUCAAACUACAUGAUGUACCUUAUGGUUCACCACCCUUCCAUGCUGCCGCUAUCUAUGAGCGCGACAGCUAGCUUCGAUAACUUUCACAAACCUGAAAAUGCUGAAAAUGCCUGUGAUGAAUUGGAGUUGGAGGCAAGCAAGGAAACACUAGAGGAGUUAGCACGCAUGUGGACGCGGCUCCUUGUUUACGCUGCAGGCAAGUCGAGGGCGGCGAUGCAUGCUGCGCAGCUGAGCGGUGGAGGAGAGCUCAUCACGUUCGCCUGGCUACUCAUGGCACACAUGGAGAUGGGGGAUACUGGCAGUAAAAGAUUCCAUCUUACCACUGAUGAUUUUCAUGCGGAAACAAACUUGACUAAUGUAUACCUCUUCUAUGUUCCCUCAGAAGACCAGAUAUCAGGUGCUGAAAAUCGGUAA